GCCGGGCGUUGUAGCUCUCGCCUGUAGUCCCAGCUACUCCGGAGGCUGAGGUGGGAGAAUCGCUGGAACCUGGGAGCUGAGGCUGCAGUGAGCCGAGAUCAGGCCACUGCACUCCAGCCUAGGCAACAGAGUGAGAUCCUAUCUCAA
Non-coding RNA from Homo sapiens (human), 147 nucleotides. It matches the Rfam family "Metazoan signal recognition particle RNA". From Rfam's summary of the family: The signal recognition particle (SRP) is a universally conserved ribonucleoprotein. It is involved in the co-translational targeting of proteins to membranes. NCBI's taxonomy places the organism in Eukaryota, Metazoa, Chordata, Mammalia, Primates, Hominidae. The record is from Rfam.